Molecule: ribosomal RNA, 252 nt
Filed under: uncultured bacterium
Lineage: Bacteria
Description: partial 16S ribosomal RNA
Rfam family: Bacterial small subunit ribosomal RNA
Source: RNAcentral
UACGUAGGUGGCAAGCGUUAUCCGGAAUUAUUGGGCGUAAAGAGGGAGCAGGCGGCAGCAAAGGUCUGUGGUGAAAGACUGAAGCUUAACUUCAGUAAGCCAUAGAAACCGGGCAGCUAGAGUGCAGGAGAGGAUCGUGGAAUUCCAUGUGUAGCGGUGAAAUGCGUAGAUAUAUGGAGGAACACCAGUGGCGAAGGCGACGAUCUGGCCUGCGACUGACGCUCAGUCCCGAAAGCGUGGGGAGCAAAUAGG